Molecule: long non-coding RNA, 222 nt
Filed under: Vulpes vulpes (red fox)
Lineage: Eukaryota; Metazoa; Chordata; Mammalia; Carnivora; Canidae
Description: lncRNA (ENSVVUG00000025161.1)
Source: RNAcentral
AUGGAGACCUCAGCAAAGGACCGGCAAGAAAAGGGGCCAGAAUUGAGCACCAUAAUCCCAGAUUUCGGGGGAAUCACAUUUAUCAACCAUCCACAAGUGUCUGCCUGCUUGGGGAGGAGGAUGAAGAGGCACUGUUUGACAAGAGUUGAAGUGGCAGAGUGUAAAGAUAUUAAAUCAGGUUGCAGAAUAGAUUUUUGUUUUGAUGAAAAUCCUUCUUUCUAA